RNAcentral lists this ribosomal RNA (475 nucleotides) under uncultured bacterium. RNAcentral's name for it is "bacterial SSU rRNA". It matches the Rfam family "Bacterial small subunit ribosomal RNA", at positions 332 to 798 of the family's 1533-position model. The record is from RNAcentral.
AUUACUCCUACGGGAGGCAGCAGUGAGGAAUAUUGCGCAAUGGGGGAAACCCUGACGCAGCGACGCCGCGUGAGUGAGGAAGGCCUUCGGGUCGUAAAGCUCUGUCAAGAGGAAAGAAGUGUACAAUGGCUAAUACCUGUUGUAUUUGACGGUACCUCUAAAGGAAGCACCGGCUGACUCCGUGCCAGCAGCCGCGGUAAUACGGAGGGUGCAAGCGUUGUUCGGAAUCACUGGGCGCAAAGGGCGCGUAGGCGGCUUGGUAAGUCAGAUGUGAAAGCCCACGGCUUAACUGUGGAAGUGCAUUUGAAACUGUCAGGCUUGAGUACCAGAGGGGAAAGCGGAAUUCCCGGUGUAGAGGUGAAAUUCGUAGAUAUCGGGAGGAAUACCGGUGGCGAAGGCGACUUUCUGGCUGGAUACUGACGCUGAGGCGCGAAAGCGUGGGGAGCAAACAGGAUUAGAUACCCUGGUAGUCAAU